Molecule: non-coding RNA, 244 nt
Organism: Pelobates cultripes (western spadefoot toad)
Lineage: Eukaryota; Metazoa; Chordata; Amphibia; Anura; Pelobatidae
Source: the annotation of a GenBank genome assembly
GGGGAGGAAGCCAGGAUGCAUUGUGGGAAUAUAAUGUGACUGUGUGUCCUAUUUUGCUGAUUGUCUGUCUUUUGUCACAGUCUCCCAUUUGGUCCCCUAGGGGAGUGUCCACCAGGUGGGAGACAUGCAUAAAUACUGGGCAGGUAGUCCUCAUUAAACAGACCACUGCUUGACCCACAACACGGAGCCUUGUCUCGUCUUUGGGGGGAUUUACUGAAUGCUGAUAGAGACUGAUUGCUAGGAG